RNAcentral lists this long non-coding RNA (244 nucleotides) under Phoenix dactylifera (date palm). Its description in RNAcentral is "long non-coding RNA (PDAC_LNC006211)". The record is from RNAcentral. Lineage: Eukaryota; Viridiplantae; Streptophyta; Magnoliopsida; Arecales; Arecaceae.
AAUUCAUAGUAGAUUGCAUUAGUAGGUUGUCUUGCAUUGCAUUUGGUAAGUUAGGGUUCAUUAGUAGCAUUGCAUAUCAUAUCACCAACUAGAGUAGUCCCUGCAUGCCAACCCGUAGUGGUAGAGAGUACCUCCUCACUGACUCUCAGACCCCUUUACCCACCAUGGACCCCAGAGUUCUACAAGAUAUUUUGGGACAAUUAGCUGCAUUACGAGCUGAUCAAGACGAAUUCAAACGAGAGAU